UACGGAGGAUCCAAGCGUUAUCCGGAAUCAUUGGGUUUAAAGGGUCCGUAGGCGGUUUAGUAAGUCAGUGGUGAAAGCCCAUCGCUCAACGGUGGAACGGCCAUUGAUACUGCUAGACUUGAAUUAUUGUGAAGUAACUAGAAUAUGUAGUGUAGCGGUGAAAUGCUUAGAUAUUACAUGGAAUACCAAUUGCGAAGGCAGGUUACUAACAAUAUAUUGACGCUGAUGGACGAAAGCGUGGGGAGCGAACAGG
RNAcentral lists this ribosomal RNA (253 nucleotides) under uncultured bacterium. RNAcentral's name for it is "partial 16S ribosomal RNA". It matches the Rfam family "Bacterial small subunit ribosomal RNA", at positions 524 to 776 of the family's 1533-position model. The record is from RNAcentral.